RNAcentral lists this non-coding RNA (30 nucleotides) under Mus musculus (house mouse). The record is from RNAcentral. Lineage: Eukaryota; Metazoa; Chordata; Mammalia; Rodentia; Muridae.
UGAUAAGGUACCACAUGGGCUGAAAGAAGU